RNAcentral lists this unclassified non-coding RNA (401 nucleotides) under soil metagenome. Its description in RNAcentral is "partial contains 5.8S ribosomal RNA, internal transcribed spacer 2, and large subunit ribosomal RNA". The stretch from base 1 to 121 matches the Rfam family "5.8S ribosomal RNA", at positions 35 to 154 of the family's 154-position model. The record is from RNAcentral.
GAUGAAGAACGUAGCGAAAUGCGAUAAGUAAUGUGAAUUGCAGAAUACAGUGAAUCAUCGAAUCUUUGAACGCACCUUGCGCCCCUUGGUUAUUCCAAAGGGCAUGCCUGUUUGAGUAUCAUGAACACCUCAACUCUUGUGGUUUCCCACAAUGAGCUUGGACUGUGGAGGUUUUGUUGGCCCUGUGGUCAGCUCCUCUCAAAUGGAUCAGCUUACCGGUGUUUGGUGGCAUUACGGGUGUGAUAACUAUCUACGCUCGUGGUCGUCUCCAAAUAACCUCCAGUGAUGGAGGUUCGCUGGAGCUUAUAAAUGUCUCUCCCCAGUGAAGACAGCCUUUGAACGUUCGAUCUCAAAUCAGGUAGGACUACCCGCUGAACUUAAGCAUAUCAAUAAGCGGAGGA